RNAcentral lists this ribosomal RNA (590 nucleotides) under uncultured Lachnospiraceae bacterium. RNAcentral's name for it is "bacterial SSU rRNA". It matches the Rfam family "Bacterial small subunit ribosomal RNA", at positions 27 to 625 of the family's 1533-position model. Lineage: Bacteria; Bacillati; Bacillota; Clostridia; Lachnospirales; Lachnospiraceae. The record is from RNAcentral.
GGACGAACGCUGGCGGCGCGCCUAACACAUGCAAGUCGAACGAGCGAGAAAGAGCUUGCUUUCUCGAGCGAUUGGCGAACGGGUGAGUAACGCGUGAGGAACCUGCCUCAAAGAGGGGGACAACAGUUGGAAACGACUGCUAAUACCGCAUAAGCCCACGGCUCGGCAUAGAGCAGAGGGAAAAGGAGCAAUCCGCUUUGAGAUGGCCUCGCGUCCGAUUAGCUAGUUGGUGAGGUAACGGCCCACCAAGGCAACGAUCGGUAGCCGGACUGAGAGGUUGAACGGCCACAUUGGGACUGAGACACGGCCCAGACUCCUACGGGAGGCAGCAGUGGGGAAUAUUGCACAAUGGGGGAAACCCUGAUGCAGCCGACGCCGCGUGGAGGAAGAAGGUCUUCGGAUUGUAAACUCCUGUUGCUUGGGGAACGAUAAUGACGGUACCCGACAAGGAAGUGACGGCUAACUACGUGCCAGCAGCCGCGGUAUCACGUAGGUCACAAGCGUUGUCCGGAAUUACUGGGUGUAAAGGGAGCGCAGGUCGGGAAAGACAAGUUGGAAGUGAAAUCUAUGGGCUCAACCCAUAAACUGCU